GUGUGUUCUCUCUUCUCUCUCUCGCUCUGUCGAAGGCAAAGGCGAUUCACAUUGAAUUUUUUCUUCUCUUCCAAUAGAUUUUUUUCUUCUCUUCCAAUUGAUUCCCACGUCUGAUUCUCCAUGGAUUCGGCGUCGAUUUGGUUCCGGUGAAGCAGACGGAUUUGAUUCCGGUGAAGAUCGAUCUGUCGAAACCCUAAUAUUUGGGGAAGAUUCAAGCACUUCGAUUGCGUUAGUUGAGCUCAAGCAAGUCACAGUUAAGGCGACAAGGAAACAACAUUUCAACCAACCGAAAGAGUCCACAAAUUUUGUGGGACUUAUGAAUAGUCAGCAGGGGAGUGGCUAUCCUCAAACCAUUUCUUUUGAUUCCCUCUACCCAAAUAUACCUACUCUUUCGUCCCCAGUUCCUCUCUUUAGUUCCCAAGUCAGUUCCGCAGCUUCCCCAAGUGAAGACACAACUGCAAGUCGUAGGGAAAGAAGGAAAUGGACACCUUCUGAUGACCGGAUUCUCAUUAGCGGGUGGUUAAACACCAGCAAGGAUGCUGUGAAAGGCAAUGAUCAG
Non-coding RNA from Camelina sativa (false flax), 559 nucleotides. The record is from RefSeq and is a predicted model, not a curated record. Lineage: Eukaryota; Viridiplantae; Streptophyta; Magnoliopsida; Brassicales; Brassicaceae.